CGCCCGCCGGCGACCGGCGCACGGGUGAGUAACACGUAUGCAACCUGGCCGCCACAGGGGGAUAACCCGCGGAAACGCGGCCUAAUACCCCGUGACGCCACCGGAGGGCAUCCUCCGGUGGCCAAAGGAGCGAUCCGGUGGCGGAUGGGCAUGCGGCGCAUUAGCUAGACGGCGGGGUGACGGCCCACCGUGGCGACGAUGCGUAGGGGUUCUGAGAGGAAGGCCCCCCACACUGGGACUGAGACACGGCCCAGACUCCUACGGGAGGCAGCAG
RNAcentral lists this ribosomal RNA (274 nucleotides) under uncultured bacterium. RNAcentral's name for it is "partial 16S ribosomal RNA". It matches the Rfam family "Bacterial small subunit ribosomal RNA", at positions 82 to 354 of the family's 1533-position model. The record is from RNAcentral.